UAAGUAAGCUUUGAUCCAGAGAUUUCCGAAUGGGGAAACCCAGCAUGAGUUAUGUCAUGUUAUCGAUAUGUGAAUACAUAGCAUAUCAGAAGGCACACCCGGAGAACUGAAACAUCUUAGUACCCGGAGGAAGAGAAAGAAAAUUCGAUUCCCUUAGUAGCGGCGAGCGAAACGGGAAGAGCCCAAACCAACAAGCUUGCUUGUUGGGGUUGUAGGACACUCUAUACGGAGUUACAAAGGACGACAUUAGACGAAUCAUCUGGAAAGAUGAAUCAAAGAAGGUAAUAAUCCUGUAGUCGAAAAUGUUGUCUCUCUUGAGUGGAUCCUGAGUACGACGGAGCACGUGAAAUUCCGUCGGAAUCUGGGAGGACCAUCUCCUAAGGCUAAAUACUCUCUAGUGACCGAUAGUGAACCAGUACCGUGAGGGAAAGGUGAAAAGCACCCCGGAAGGGGAGUGAAAUAGAACCUGAAACCGUGUGCUUACAAGUAGUCAGAGCCCGUUAAUGGGUGAUGGCGUGCCUUUUGUAGAAUGAACCGGCGAGUUACGAUUUGAUGCAAGGUUAAGCAGUAAAUGUGGAGCCGUAGCGAAAGCGAGUCUGAAUAGGGCGUUUAGUAUUUGGUCGUAGACCCGAAACCAGGUGAUCUACCCUUGGUCAGGUUGAAGUUCAGGUAACACUGAAUGGAGGACCGAACCGACUUACGUUGAAAAGUGAGCGGAUGAACUGAGGGUAGCGGAGAAAUUCCAAUCGAACCUGGAGAUAGCUGGUUCUCUCCGAAAUAGCUUUAGGGCUAGCCUCAAGUGAUGAUUAUUGGAGGUAGAGCACUGUUUGGACGAGGGGCCCCUCUCGGGUUACCGAAUUCAGACAAACUCCGAAUGCCAAUUAAUUUAACUUGGGAGUCAGAACAUGGGUGAUAAGGUCCGUGUUCGAAAGGGAAACAGCCCAGACCACCAGCUAAGGUCCCAAAAUAUAUGUUAAGUGGAAAAGGAUGUGGCGUUGCCCAGACAACUAGGAUGUUGGCUUAGAAGCAGCCAUCAUUUAAAGAGUGCGUAAUAGCUCACUAGUCGAGUGACACUGCGCCGAAAAUGUACCGGGGCUAAACAUA
Molecule: ribosomal RNA, 1104 nt
Filed under: Staphylococcus aureus
Lineage: Bacteria; Bacillati; Bacillota; Bacilli; Caryophanales; Staphylococcaceae
Description: partial 23S ribosomal RNA
Rfam family: Bacterial large subunit ribosomal RNA
Source: RNAcentral